Molecule: long non-coding RNA, 764 nt
Filed under: Phoenix dactylifera (date palm)
Lineage: Eukaryota; Viridiplantae; Streptophyta; Magnoliopsida; Arecales; Arecaceae
Description: long non-coding RNA (PDAC_LNC011925)
Source: RNAcentral
ACUUCUUCACUUAUCGAUUCCUUAAAAUGAGACUACUUAAUCACAAAUAAAAGAGAUUAGAGUGGUUGUCACCUUAGUAACCAAAUAUGAGGCUGCUGCUAGUGAAAUCUAGCAAGGAGAAACAACACUUGCAGCCUCCAGACGUUAGAUCUAGUGGUGAAUGACUGGCAACCAGGGCGGCGAGACCUAGUAGCACCCAUGUCUGAAAUGAAGGAAAGGCAAAGGCUCUAGCUCAUGUUAGUGUAAAAGAUAGAGCGAUAAAGGAUAGGAGGGAGAGAUAGAAUAACAAAGAAAGAGGGGGAGGGAGAUGGGAGAUACAUGUUGGUGAGGCUUUAUAAACACAUUGGAAGGUAUGCGAGAGGCGACGGGGAGAGAGCAUAAAGAGAAACAAGGUUCUUGCCUCUGUUUAUUUAAGGGAACAACACCAACUUACAAAUGGUCCAAACUGAGACCUAGGUGGUCCAAACUGGGCCUAGGUGUUUCGCCUCCAAAUUUCCAAUGUUGCCUAUGCCUUGGGCCUCAAUGUCUGCCUCUGCCUCUGCCUCAACCCAUGGCUGCAGUCUCCUCCCUUUCAUUGCUGCAUUUCCUCUUCAUCAUCUUGAGAUAAGCGCCACAUUAGUGGAGGCUGAGAGGGACCAUCCAAGUCAAGUCAGAGUUGGAGGGGAGGAGUGGACACCAAUGGAGAGGUUGGGCAAUUUGUUAUCACUAAAUAUCUCUAUAUUCAAUGUCUUUCUGAUCUUUUGCUGCAGCAGGCAAGACGAAUA